Hylaeus volcanicus is the source of this 1168-nucleotide long non-coding RNA. RefSeq lists it as uncharacterized. The transcript is spliced from 2 exons. The record is from RefSeq and is a predicted model, not a curated record. Lineage: Eukaryota; Metazoa; Arthropoda; Insecta; Hymenoptera; Colletidae.
GACGCCGUCUGUUCGGAGGACACUCGUUGCACUGACACGCCGAAUCGAGAUCUACCACGGGGAUCGAGAUCGAGAGUGAGAGACAGCAAAGGGGCUGGCGCGCACCGUUGGUCGAUCGUAGCCGACUGUUUGUGAACGUGAACGAUCGUACGCACUUUUAUCGCAUCGGCACGUGGUCUCUCGCGGUUCAUCAUGCAUCCAUCCCCCUACUUACGACACGUAACCUCCCUCUCUCACCCAUACUCCCUCCACAAUCACUGCUACACGAGUUUAUUUUUGAUUUUCGAAGCAUUUAUUUUGUACCGCGGACAACAAACUCUGUGCCAACUGUGUGUUCGAUGAGUACCGAACUGUCAUGGGAUUGAUCGAGGAAGUAACUUUAGAUGAUGAGAUUAGCGUGGAUCAGUUGGGAUUUCGAUGAUAAGGUCUGCAGAGUGAGGCUGAAAUAGAGAUGGAACUUUUUGUUUGGCUACUUCGAUUCGAUGCAGUACAUUUUACUAUUCUGAAAAUGAUUGAGUUACGGUUAAAAACGUAUAAUUUACUCGUUUAUCCAGAGAAGUUUUUCAAAUAUAUAGGUUUAUUAAUGAACACUUACGUUAAUAAUUGCUCACCCAAGCAAUUUAUGUGGAUAUAAAACAUGGAUUUAUGUCUGGGAGAUCCACUGUUGUUAACCUUGUAGAAUACAGUAAUUGCGUUUUAUCUACCGUACUCCAGACAAGUAUGCAAAUUGACACUAUUUUUAUCGACAUUAUGAACACAUUUGACGAGGUUCACCACGCAAUGUUAAUUUUGAAACUUUUUCCUUAGCGACAAUGUUGUUUCUAAUCAUCUCCUGAACCACCCUUUUCAAGGACCUCCAACAUUUUUGGGACACCUUGUAUACGCCCUUUUGUAAUCUGAAUCUAAUCUUCGAGGACGAAUAUAUGAAGGAUGAGUGUGGUGAUGUCAGAGUGCAUGCAGCGUGAAUGAAAAGACUGCAGAAUGUAAGAAUGUGUGUGAGAGGGCGAAUGUCCUAAGCCUUUAGUCGUAAGGUUUAGUUGAAAACAUAAGAUGCGCGGACGGUUGGUCAGGGAACAAUCGGAAGAGGACAGUCAGUCGAUCGCGACAAACCGAGAAACACCGUUAUUUUUAUUCCUUACUUUAAUUAAAUAUUUUUCGUUCUGUUCAA